CCUACGGGUGGCAGCAGUGAGGAAUAUUGGUCAAUGGGCGCGAGCCUGAACCAGCAAAGUCGCGUGAAGGAUGACUGCCCUACGGGUUGUAAACUUCUUUUAUAAAGGAAUAAAAUGAGGCACGAGAGCCUUUAUGUGUGUACUUUAUGAAUAAGGAUCGGCUAACUCCGUGCCAGCAGCCGCGGUAAUACGGAGGAUCCGAGCGUUAUACGGAUUUAUUGGGUUUAAAGGGAGCGUAGAUGGGUUGUUAAGUCAGGUGUGAAAGUUUGCGGCUCAACCGUAAAAUUGCAAUUGAGACUGGCAGCCUUGAGUACUGUUGAGGUAGGCGGAAUUCGUGGUGUAGCGGUGAAAUGCUUAGAUAUCACGAAGAACUCCGAUUGCGAAGGCAGCCUACUAAACUGCCACUGACAUUGAUGCUCGAAAGUGUGGGUAUCAAACAGGAUUAGAUACCCUGGUAGUC
RNAcentral lists this ribosomal RNA (460 nucleotides) under uncultured bacterium. RNAcentral's name for it is "partial 16S ribosomal RNA". It matches the Rfam family "Bacterial small subunit ribosomal RNA", at positions 338 to 795 of the family's 1533-position model. The record is from RNAcentral.